Molecule: long non-coding RNA, 828 nt
Filed under: Salmo salar (Atlantic salmon)
Lineage: Eukaryota; Metazoa; Chordata; Actinopteri; Salmoniformes; Salmonidae
Description: lncRNA (ENSSSAG00000091281.1)
Source: RNAcentral
UACAUUUUUUAUUUCAGAAUUCAAUGUUAUUCAAUCUGUGUUACACAGAGGUCAUUAUAACUGUCCCUUUUUUACCAAUUUUUAAGGAUCAAGCAAACGUUUGGAAAAACUAUGCCUUGUCUCUUACCUUGUUUGUGUAAUGAUUUCCAUUUUAGAUUAAUGCAAAUAUCCCUUAUCUUUAUCAGAUGGCUGUCUGUAUCUGCAAUGUUAUGUUACAUGAAAUACAUUUAAUACAAUAAAGAUUUUUAACAACAACUCAAUAAUCGUUGCACUUUCGCCAUUCGCUCGCUCAAAGCUGUCCCCAUCAACUGGAAUGAAUUGGAAAAACCAAGAUAUGCAACGUUGCUGGGUCUCAGACAGUAAGUCGUUCAGUACUGCUCAGUUCUACCACACACCAUUGGCUAGUUCAUUCCAUUCCACAGUGAGUCAUGCCAGUCAGACAUCAUCAGAAGUCACAGGUGUUCUGUCUUUGAGGCUUUUUGUUUUUUCUGUCAGUCUCUACCUCUGUCUCUGUCUCCCCAGUCCUUCCUAACAUAGCUGUUAGGUCUUUAACACUGUCUGUCAGUCUCUACCUCUGUCUUUGUCUCCCCAGUCCUUCCUAACAUAGCUGUUAGGUCUUUAACACUGUCUGUCAGUCUCUACCUCUCUUUGUCUCCCCAGUCCUUCCUAACAUAGCUGUUAGGUCUUUAACACUGUCUGGUAGUCUCUACCUCUGUCUCUGUCUCCCCAGUCCUUCCUAACAUAGCUGUUAGGUCUUUAACACUGUCUGUCAGUCUCUACCUCUGUCUCUGUCUCCCCAGUCCUUCCUAACAUAGCUGUUAGGUCUUU